GAUGAACGCUGGCGGCGUGCCUAAUACAUGCAAGUCGAGCGAACGGACGAGAAGCUUGCUUUUCUGAUGUUAGCGGCGGACGGGUGAGUAACACGUGGAUAACCUACCUAUAAGACUGGGAUAACUUCGGGAAACCGGAGCUAAUACCGGAUAAUAUUUUGAACCGCAUGGUUCAAAAGUGAAAGACGGUCUUGCUGUCACUUAUAGAUGGAUCCGCGCUGCAUUAGCUAGUUGGUAAGGUAACGGCUUACCAAGGCAACGAUGCAUAGCCGACCUGAGAGGGUGAUCGGCCACACGGGAACUGAGACCCGGUCCAGCCCCCUACGGGAGGCAGCAGUAGGGAAUCUUCCGAAAUGGGCGAAAGCCUGACGGAGCAACGCCGGGGGAGUGAUGAAGUUCUUCGGAUCGUAAAACUUUUUUAUUAGGGAAGAACAGAUGUGUAAGUAACUGUGCACCUCUUGACGGUACCGAAUCAGAAAGCCACGGCUAACUCCGU
RNAcentral lists this ribosomal RNA (496 nucleotides) under uncultured bacterium. Its description in RNAcentral is "partial 16S ribosomal RNA". It matches the Rfam family "Bacterial small subunit ribosomal RNA", at positions 28 to 506 of the family's 1533-position model. The record is from RNAcentral.